RNAcentral lists this long non-coding RNA (248 nucleotides) under Elaeis guineensis (African oil palm). RNAcentral's name for it is "long non-coding RNA (EGUI_LNC023850)". Lineage: Eukaryota; Viridiplantae; Streptophyta; Magnoliopsida; Arecales; Arecaceae. The record is from RNAcentral.
CCUCCCUCUCUCUCUCGUUCUCUUUCUCUCAUAAACAAAGCGCAAACCUGGAGUCUUAGCUAGGAUGACUACUUCAGCUAACUAGGAUGAUAGCUAGCUGCAAUUAAGCUUAAGUGCUCAGAAUUUCUUGCGACUUCGGAAAAGAUGGCAGUGCUGGUAAACAUUGUGGUUAUGUGUUCAGUUUCUUAAUUGUCGAUAAAAGCUUAAUUGAAGUGUAUGAUGAAGACCGAGGGUUGCAAAAAUGAUGC